Molecule: transfer RNA, 26 nt
Filed under: Uroplatus ebenaui
Lineage: Eukaryota; Metazoa; Chordata; Lepidosauria; Squamata; Gekkonidae
Description: tRNA-Tyr
Source: RNAcentral
CCGUAAAUGAGGGUACAGCUCARCCA